GUUUUUAUGGUACCCUAUACUGCUACUGGGGAGGGAGCAGUAUAUGUGUGAUCCCACCGUUGAUCACAAAGGGAUUUGCUCUGGUGACUGGUGGGCCAAUACUUCUGAACGACCAAGACACAAGCAGGUUGAGCCAUGCCUGGGUGAGCAUUCUAGCACACGAUGUGGUUGUCGACCUCACAGCAAAGGCAGAUGAGCAGCUCCACGUCCCGCGAGAUGCGGCCGAAGUAGAGGUUCCGCCACGCUCCGGCACUCACCAAGACGCAGCUCUUCGCGUCAAAAGACUGGCACAUCUUGCACAUCCUGGCCUCGUCGUCGACGGCGGCGAGCUCGUCCAUGGCGCAGGGUGGUUUGGCAUGCGCUGUCGCCAUGCACGAGGCACAAUAAGCGUGAUGCUAGGGUGAGGAUGGGGCGCACGGCGACGGGCCAUAACGUCAUAACCGCAGAAGCAUCAGUCCACGAUCACGACGGAUUAAGGGGAGGUUGCCCGGCCGGUAGGCGCACGGUCGAAGGGGAGACGAGCGUCCGGGGACGUCUGCCGGAGAUGCAGAGUCGCCGAAUAAUGAACUGCAAGCGCGUAUAUUGGUGGACG
Molecule: ribosomal RNA, 592 nt
Filed under: Triticum aestivum (bread wheat)
Lineage: Eukaryota; Viridiplantae; Streptophyta; Magnoliopsida; Poales; Poaceae
Description: partial small subunit ribosomal RNA
Source: RNAcentral